This is a long non-coding RNA of Silurus meridionalis, 524 nucleotides long. RefSeq lists it as uncharacterized. The transcript is spliced from 2 exons. The record is from RefSeq and is a predicted model, not a curated record. NCBI's taxonomy places the organism in Eukaryota, Metazoa, Chordata, Actinopteri, Siluriformes, Siluridae.
CGUGAAUGCCAGCAGAAAUACCCCUUCUAAAAUUAUAAAACCAGCAAAAAUAACACUUCUAGAAUUAUAAAACCAGCAGGAAGCAGAGGAAAUAAUUCCAAGUAAAAACAAUUGAAACUCCGAUUGUUUUUUUUUUGAGUACUAGAAAGUCUGGAUGAACCGAGAUGGCGAGCCUAGCCCAGCGAGACUGGUAGAUGAUCUUAAACAGGGUGGCCAGCCGUUGAUUUGUCACCAGAGGAAUCCUGAUUUACGUCGAGCGUGCCAGUUAAGGCAUUAUUCACACACAGUAGUGUUACACCAAGUGCACUUGAGGACAAGGACAUUUAUGCUUACUGAAAUACACAUUCACAGGUCUUUGGAUCCACAUUCCACAUUCACUUACGGAACCAAUUGAACAUUUAAGGGGAAUUUACUUUAUUAUUUUAUUAUUUUAAAGAGCUCUUCCUUUUUUGUUUUAACAUUAUUGUGCCAUUUAUUUUGCACUGUUGUAAGAAGGCAAUAAAAUUGUCAGCUGUUCAACUCAA